Molecule: unclassified non-coding RNA, 227 nt
Filed under: uncultured fungus
Lineage: Eukaryota; Fungi
Description: sequence contains ITS1
Source: RNAcentral
UUUCUUUUGUUAUAAUUUUGUUACAUUCUUUGACUAGUGUUUUUAAAUGAAAUCGCGAAAGUAAGUGCAUCAACACGGCCAAGAACGUGAAUUCUCAAUCGCUCCACACGAACAAUCACUGGAAUAAUAAUGCACAGGUGUUUGAAUUUGUGAGGGUUCGGCACUCUCCGUUUAAAGAGAGUUGCCUAUAUUCACUAAUGAUCCUUCCGCAGGUUCACCUACGGAAA